GGGACGAACGCUGGCGGCGUGCUUAACACAUGCAAGUCGAGCGAGGCCCCUCCUUCGGGAGGGAGCCCUAGCGGCGAACGGGUGAGUAACACGUGGGCAACCUGCCCCUAGCACUGGGAUAACUCCGGGAAACCGGGGCUAAAUACCGGAUAUGACCUCGGAAGGCAUCUUCUGUGGUGUAAAGGAUUCUGGCUAGGGAUGGGCCCGCGGCCUAUCAGCUUGUUGGUGGGUAACGCCUACCAAGGCGACGACGGUA
RNAcentral lists this ribosomal RNA (256 nucleotides) under uncultured bacterium. RNAcentral describes it as "partial small subunit ribosomal RNA". It matches the Rfam family "Bacterial small subunit ribosomal RNA", at positions 27 to 285 of the family's 1533-position model. The record is from RNAcentral.